Brassica napus (rape) is the source of this 1667-nucleotide long non-coding RNA. RefSeq lists it as uncharacterized. Lineage: Eukaryota; Viridiplantae; Streptophyta; Magnoliopsida; Brassicales; Brassicaceae. The record is from RefSeq and is a predicted model, not a curated record. The transcript has 8 exons.
AGGGCUUCAUUGUUAUCGUCCUUCCACAUUCAGCCUCACCGUCUCUGCUCAUCUGCAAACCAAACGAUUUCUCCUUCCAAUCUCUUUUCCACCCCAGUGAAUUUUUUUUUGUCAGUGGUGUGUUGUUUGGUUUAGUGGAUUCGAAGAGAAUGGUGACAGGAUUCAAAUCAACACUGAUCUUCUUAGUCGUAAGAUUCAAGAGCUUAAGCAGUGUCAAUUCUCCGAGCUUCAGAACAAUGGAAGGGCUGAGGUCAUUGAUGCCUCAAAUUUUGACCAGACCAAGCUUCAGCUAAGAGGGAAGGCUUGGUUUACUAAUUCUCUAAAGUCAAGCCUGAUGUACAUCUGUCAUGCGCCUGGUUCUCCUUACAACAGUGAGCAACCAAAUCAAGAAGUCAGGUUGAUUAGUUGAACUGAAAAGUAAUCAGAGGCUUUUGUUUUCAUCCAUGAUUAAUGGAACAGGAGAGAAGUGCUGGACUUCUAAAAAGGUUAACCCAUGAUUAUGUUUUAAAAAUGCAUGAGAUGGUAAUUAAAUUAUUUCUUAUUGGUGUGGUAGAUUACUUAGACAAUAAAUAUUUCUGCAUUCAACGUUUCUUUUGGCCAUAUUAUUUGUGUUCGCUUUAAACAUAAUGUUUGCCUUUUCAGUCGACCUAACAACCGAACAAGAAGAGGUUAUCCUCUCCAUCCAUACCCACAAUCGUACUGAUAUAUUCAUGUUUCUUAAAUGUUUUUGUAGUUCAUCUUAAUACCCAGUGUUCUUUUCUUAUGUUAUUCCAAUAGAGCCAUUAUCUUCCAAGCUGAUUAUAUGCCGAUGAUAUGUAGGUUGCAACAAUGUUUGCAGUGAUGAAAGAAACAGACUAUUACAAUAAACCGCAAUUUAGGGAGCAUUUUUGGAAUGAUUAGUUGGGAAGAAGCAUGUGAUACUGAAGUUAGAUCACUGUGACUUCACUCCCAUAUAUGAGUGGCAUUUAAGAGAAGAAGAAACAAAUGAGCACAGAGGAGAAAAAAGCUUUGAAAAAAGAAAAACAGAAGUAAGAGGAGAAAUAUAUGUGGGCUGUUGUCGACGGUAUCAAAGACAAAGUUGGUAAUUUCAGGGUUGACCCGCAUGGGAUCUUCAGAGGCCGUGGAGAGCAUCCAAGAUGGGAAAACUAAAUGAGCGUAUCCAUCCAUCUGAUAUCACCAUGAACAUUGGGAAAUGUGUUCCUGUUCAAGAAUGUCCGAUCCCUGUUGAAAAGUAUUGUGAUUUUUCCCCUUGGUUUUCCUCCAAAAUAGAAAAACGUUAUAUAAAGAAAUUACUAAGCUAUGUGAGAUGAGGCACUGCAGAUGGUAAGACGUAAAGCAUGACAACACAGUCACCUGGCUAGCUAUCUGGAGUGAUCCUAUCAACACAAAAGAGUUCAAGUAUGUGUUUUUGGCAGCUAGCAGUGCCUUGAAAGGUCCGAGUGACAAGAAGUAUGAGAAAGCCAGAAAUCUUACGGUAGGAAGCUUUCAUUGUUUUGAAGCUUGUGCUUGCUAUUACUGUUUCUCCUUUUUACAAAAAUUAAAUUUCAAAUAGAUAGAAUUGUAAUAAACGGUUAAAAAAACUCUAGAAAUUUAUAAAAGUAUAUGGUUUAAAAAAUUUUUAAUUUUAGAUAUUUUAUUAGAUUUUGUUAAAACUGAUUUGUGGUGGA